GAUGAACGCUGGCGGCGUGCCUAAUACAUGCAAGUCGAGCGGACAGACGAGGAGCUUGCUCCUCUGACGUUAGCGGCGGACGGGUGAGUAACACGUGGAUAACCUACCUAUAAGACUGGGAUAGCUUCGGGAAACCGGAGCUAAUACCGGAUAAUAUAUUGAACCGCAUGGUUCAAUAGUGAAAGACGGUUUUGCUGUCACUUAUAGAUGGAUCCGCGCCGCAUUAGCUAGUUGGUAAGGUAACGGCUUACCAAGGCGACGAUGCGUAGCCGACCUGAGAGGGUGAUCGGCCACACUGGAACUGAGACACGGUCCAGACUCCUACGGGAGGCAGCAGUAGGGAAUCUUCCGCAAUGGGCGAAAGCCUGACGGAGCAACGCCGCGUGAGUGAUGAAGGUCUUCGGAUCGUAAAACUCUGUUAUUAGGGAAGAACAAAUGUGUAAGUAACUAUGCACGUCUUGACGGUACCUAAUCAGAAAGCCACGGCUAACUACGUG
RNAcentral lists this ribosomal RNA (497 nucleotides) under uncultured bacterium. Its description in RNAcentral is "partial 16S ribosomal RNA". It matches the Rfam family "Bacterial small subunit ribosomal RNA", at positions 28 to 507 of the family's 1533-position model. The record is from RNAcentral.